GUUAUCAUAUUUAAUACCUCUAUCAUGAAGAUGCUGACUGCGUUUCUGCAUGUGUGUCUCAUCAUUGCUGUGACACAAAGUCAUCCUCUUUUUGAGGAAAUUGGGUCAGGUGACUCAAGUAAUGCAGGUGUUGGUUCGCCAGGAGCAACGGGAGACCCACCAUUUGCAACAGAUGUUCCAGAUGAAACAACAACUGUGAUAGCUGACUCAACUACUCAAGAGAGAAUCUAUUAUGACUCAGAGGAAGAUCUAGGAUUUCUGAGAGACAAACCAACUGUGAUAGCUGACUCAACUAAUGAUGAUGGAUACUUUUAUGACUCAGAUGAAGAACUAGGACAUCCGAGAGUUUGGAGAGGCAGGUCUGAUGAUUCAUCUAAUGGAGAUGGAGAAAAUUCUGACACAUCGGAAGAUGCACCAGAUGCAGCAGAGGAAACAGGCGGGUCUGAUGAUUCAUCUAAUGGAGGUGGAGAAAGUUCUGACACAUCAGAAGAUGCACCAGAUGCAGCAGGUCGGUAUAUUUAUUGGAAUGCAUAUUAUUGUUUGUUUGCCUGUUUUUCUCCAAAAGUUGUAAAACAAAAGUACGACUUGGAUACUAACUACACUGCAGACUUGGUUUCUUGCGUUCUUCAAUAUUUAUUUUUUGUUUUAAGAAUUAUUUCACGAUGA
RNAcentral lists this long non-coding RNA (666 nucleotides) under Oreochromis niloticus (Nile tilapia). RNAcentral describes it as "lncRNA (ENSONIG00000009618.2)". Lineage: Eukaryota; Metazoa; Chordata; Actinopteri; Cichliformes; Cichlidae. The record is from RNAcentral.